Molecule: long non-coding RNA, 619 nt
Organism: Elaeis guineensis (African oil palm)
Lineage: Eukaryota; Viridiplantae; Streptophyta; Magnoliopsida; Arecales; Arecaceae
Source: RefSeq, a predicted model, not a curated record
CAAAAGACUUUGCGUGGUUGACCUGGCUAUAGACAUCCAAUAGAAUUUCCAGCCAAUUCCGUAGCCAACAGGAUCGUCGAAUAUUAGAGGAAGCUAUUUGCCCGGGCUUAUCAGCUCGGUUUCCAUCCUUUAAUAUCCUUCCUCAAUUUUUUUUUUGCUUUGUUUCUGAGUGUCAUAGGCUUGAUUUCGAUUCAAUUUCCUCCUUCCAGAACCAAAUAUUAUGAGGUUUCAUAUGGAAGUGUUGCAGGUGCAACAGCUAUCUACAGCGGCCUUUCCAUUUGCUGCCUCUCAUGAUGUUCUAAGAUCUGUGCAUGGCGAGCCAGCUAGUAGCUCAACAACUGCAACACUCCUCCAAAAUGCAGGAUAUAUGCUGGAAUAGGAAGGUACCUCUCGGGGGUUAAAAUACAGGAAAAAAUGGAUGAGAUUAACUGAUGAAGAACCACAGCAUCAAAAGCGAACGGAAAGCAUGCUCAGUUGGCUAUUUUGUGAGAUUUAUAUGUUAGUUAUUCUCUCUUGCCGUCGCCUGAUCGAAUUGCCAAGAAGAUGAGACCCAGCAUAGCAAAUACCGACCAAACAAUGGUAGAAUAAGUAAGUACCGUCACAGCCUUUGCCAGGCUUG